AGUUCGAUUAUGGCUCAGAUUGAACGCUGGCGGGAUGCUUUAGCACAUGCAAGUCGAACGGCAGCACGACUUCUCGUCUGGUGGGCGAGUGUAUAACUGGUGAGUAAUGUAUCGGAACGUGCCUAGUAUGGGAUAAUCACGCUAAAGCGUAGCUAAUACCGCAUAAUGCCCUUCGGGGAAAGCGGGGGACCCGACUCGCACCAGGAGCGGCCGAUAUCGAUUAGCUAGUUGGUGGGGUAACGGCUCAGCCACAAGCGACGAUCCGUGGAAGCCGGCUUGAGGACGACCAGCCACACUGGGACUGAGACACGGCCCAGACUCACGGAGGCAAAAGAGGGAAUUCUUGACAAUGGGGAAACCCGAUCCAGCCAUCCCGCGUGCGAUGAAGGCUUUCGGUUGUAAAGCACUUUUUGUAGGAAAGAAACGGCACGGGAUAAUACCCCGUGCAACUGACGGUACCUGCAGAAGAAGCAACCGGCUAACUACGCCAGCAGCCGCGGCAAUACGUAGGUGCAAGCGCGUUAAUCGAAUUAAUAAGUAAAGUGCGCAGGCGGUUCGGAAAGAAGAUGGGAAAUCCCAGAGCUUAACUUUGAACUGCAUUUUUAACUACCGAGCUAGAGUGUGUCAGAGGAGGUGGAAUUCCGCGUGUAGCAGGAAUGCGUAGAUAUGCAGGAGGAACACUGAUGGCGAAGGCAGCCUCCUGGGGAUAACACUGACGCUCAUGCACGAAAGCGGGGGAGCAACAGGAUUAGAUACCCUGGUAGUCCACGCUCCCUAAACGAUGUCAACUAGCUGUUGGGGCCUUCGGGCCUUGCAGCGCAGCUAACGCGUGAAGUUGACCGCCUGGGGAGUACGGUCGCAAGAUUAAAACUCAGUUGACGGGGACCCGCACAAGCGUGGUGGAUGAUGUACUAAUUCGAUGCAACGCGAAAAACCUUACUUACCCUUGACAUGUCUGGAAUCCCGAAGAGAUUUGGGGAGUGCUCGCAGAGAACUCGAACACAGGUAAAGCUGUUAUUGCCGUCAGUCUGUGUCGUGAGAUGCUGGGUUAAGUCCCGCAACGAGCGCAACCUGUCAUUGCUGCUGCAUGAAAGGGCACUCUAAUGACUGCCGGUGACAAACCGAGGAAGGUGGGGAUGACGUCAAGUCCUCAUGGCCCUUGCGCAGUAGGGCUUCACACGUCACAAUGGUCGGGACAGAGGGUCGCCGCUAACCCGCGAGGGGGAGCCAAUCCCAGAAAACCCGGGAUCGUAGUCCGGACGCGGUCUGCAACUCGACUGCAGAAGUCGGAAUCGCUAGUAAUCGCGGAUCAGCAUGUCGCAGGAAUACGUUCCUGGCCCUGGUGUUAAUAACGCCCGUCACACCAUGGGAGUGGGUUUUACCAGAAGUAGUUAGCCUAACCGUAAGGGAUAAUAGCGAUUACCACGGUAGGAUUCAUGACUGGGGUAGUCGUAACAAGGUAA
RNAcentral lists this ribosomal RNA (1463 nucleotides) under uncultured Bordetella sp. RNAcentral describes it as "partial 16S-23S ribosomal RNA intergenic spacer". It matches the Rfam family "Bacterial small subunit ribosomal RNA". Lineage: Bacteria; Pseudomonadati; Pseudomonadota; Betaproteobacteria; Burkholderiales; Alcaligenaceae. The record is from RNAcentral.